GAUGAACGCUGGCGGCGUGCCUAAUACAUGCAAGUCGAGCGAACGGACGAGAAGCUUUCUUCUCUGAAGUUAGCGGCGGACGGGUGAGUAACACGUGGAUAACCUACCUAUAAGACUGGGAUAACUUCGGGAAACCGGAGAUAAUACCGGAUAAUAUUUUGAACCGCCUGGUUCAAAAGUGAAAGACGGUCUUGCUGUCACUUAUAGAUGGAUCCGCGCUGCAUUAGCUAGUUGGUAAGGUAACGGCUUACCAAGGCAACGAUGCAUAGCCGACCUGAGAGGGUGAUCGGCCACACUGGAACUGAGACACGGUCCAGACUCCUACGGGAGGCAGCAGUAGGGAAUCUUCCGCAAUGGGCGAAAGCCUGACGGAGCAACGCCGCGUGAGUGAUGAAGGUCUUCGGAGCGUAAAACUCUGUUAUUAGGGAAGAACAUAUGUGUAAGUAACUGUGCACAUCUUGACGGUACCUAAUCAGAAAGCCACGGCUAACUACGUG
RNAcentral lists this ribosomal RNA (497 nucleotides) under uncultured bacterium. RNAcentral's name for it is "partial 16S ribosomal RNA". It matches the Rfam family "Bacterial small subunit ribosomal RNA", at positions 28 to 507 of the family's 1533-position model. The record is from RNAcentral.